RNAcentral lists this ribosomal RNA (74 nucleotides) under Citrobacter freundii. RNAcentral describes it as "partial 16S ribosomal RNA". The stretch from base 1 to 64 matches the Rfam family "Bacterial small subunit ribosomal RNA", at positions 1470 to 1533 of the family's 1533-position model. The record is from RNAcentral. Lineage: Bacteria; Pseudomonadati; Pseudomonadota; Gammaproteobacteria; Enterobacterales; Enterobacteriaceae. RNAcentral also lists the same sequence under 1 other name.
CAUGACUGGGGUGAAGUCGUAACAAGGUAACCGUAGGGGAACCUGCGGUUGGAUCACCUCCUUACCUUAAAGAA